This 2904-nucleotide ribosomal RNA is filed under the name Escherichia coli. RNAcentral's name for it is "23S ribosomal RNA". It matches the Rfam family "Bacterial large subunit ribosomal RNA". The record is from RNAcentral. Lineage: Bacteria; Pseudomonadati; Pseudomonadota; Gammaproteobacteria; Enterobacterales; Enterobacteriaceae.
GGUUAAGCGACUAAGCGUACACGGUGGAUGCCCUGGCAGUCAGAGGCGAUGAAGGACGUGCUAAUCUGCGAUAAGCGUCGGUAAGGUGAUAUGAACCGUUAUAACCGGCGAUUUCCGAAUGGGGAAACCCAGUGUGUUUCGACACACUAUCAUUAACUGAAUCCAUAGGUUAAUGAGGCGAACCGGGGGAACUGAAACAUCUAAGUACCCCGAGGAAAAGAAAUCAACCGAGAUUCCCCCAGUAGCGGCGAGCGAACGGGGAGGAGCCCAGAGCCUGAAUCAGUGUGUGUGUUAGUGGAAGCGUCUGGAAAGGCGCGCGAUACAGGGUGACAGCCCCGUACACAAAAAUACACAUAUUGUGAGCUCGAUGAGUAGGGCGGGACACGUGGUAUCCUGUCUGAAUAUGGGGGGACCAUCCUCCAAGGCUAAAUACUCCUGACUGACCGAUAGUGAACCAGUACCGUGAGGGAAAGGCGAAAAGAACCCCGGCGAGGGGAGUGAAAAAGAACCUGAAACCGUGUACGUACAAGCAGUGGGAGCACGCUUAGGCGUGUGACUGCGUACCUUUUGUAUAAUGGGUCAGCGACUUAUAUUCUGUAGCAAGGUUAACCGAAUAGGGGAGCCGAAGGGAAACCGAGUCUUAACUGGGCGUUAAGUUGCAGGGUAUAGACCCGAAACCCGGUGAUCUAGCCAUGGGCAGGUUGAAGGUUGGGUAACACUAACUGGAGGACCGAACCGACUAAUGUUGAAAAAUUAGCGGAUGACUUGUGGCUGGGGGUGAAAGGCCAAUCAAACCGGGAGAUAGCUGGUUCUCCCCGAAAGCUAUUUAGGUAGCGCCUCGUGAAUUCAUCUCCGGGGGUAGAGCACUGUUUCGGCAAGGGGGUCAUCCCGACUUACCAACCCGAUGCAAACUGCGAAUACCGGAGAAUGUUAUCACGGGAGACACACGGCGGGUGCUAACGUCCGUCGUGAAGAGGGAAACAACCCAGACCGCCAGCUAAGGUCCCAAAGUCAUGGUUAAGUGGGAAACGAUGUGGGAAGGCCCAGACAGCCAGGAUGUUGGCUUAGAAGCAGCCAUCAUUUAAAGAAAGCGUAAUAGCUCACUGGUCGAGUCGGCCUGCGCGGAAGAUGUAACGGGGCUAAACCAUGCACCGAAGCUGCGGCAGCGACGCUUAUGCGUUGUUGGGUAGGGGAGCGUUCUGUAAGCCUGUGAAGGUGUGCUGUGAGGCAUGCUGGAGGUAUCAGAAGUGCGAAUGCUGACAUAAGUAACGAUAAAGCGGGUGAAAAGCCCGCUCGCCGGAAGACCAAGGGUUCCUGUCCAACGUUAAUCGGGGCAGGGUGAGUCGACCCCUAAGGCGAGGCCGAAAGGCGUAGUCGAUGGGAAACAGGUUAAUAUUCCUGUACUUGGUGUUACUGCGAAGGGGGGACGGAGAAGGCUAUGUUGGCCGGGCGACGGUUGUCCCGGUUUAAGCGUGUAGGCUGGUUUUCCAGGCAAAUCCGGAAAAUCAAGGCUGAGGCGUGAUGACGAGGCACUACGGUGCUGAAGCAACAAAUGCCCUGCUUCCAGGAAAAGCCUCUAAGCAUCAGGUAACAUCAAAUCGUACCCCAAACCGACACAGGUGGUCAGGUAGAGAAUACCAAGGCGCUUGAGAGAACUCGGGUGAAGGAACUAGGCAAAAUGGUGCCGUAACUUCGGGAGAAGGCACGCUGAUACGUAGGUGAAGUCCCUCGCGGAUGGAGCUGAAAUCAGUCGAAGAUACCAGCUGGCUGCAACUGUUUAUUAAAAACACAGCACUGUGCAAACACGAAAGUGGACGUAUACGGUGUGACGCCUGCCCGGUGCCGGAAGGUUAAUUGAUGGGGUCAGCGCAAGCGAAGCUCUUGAUCGAAGCCCCGGUAAACGGCGGCCGUAACUAUAACGGUCCUAAGGUAGCGAAAUUCCUUGUCGGGUAAGUUCCGACCUGCACGAAUGGCGUAAUGAUGGCCAGGCUGUCUCCACCCGAGACUCAGUGAAAUUGAACUCGCUGUGAAGAUGCAGUGUACCCGCGGCAAGACGGAAAGACCCCGUGAACCUUUACUAUAGCUUGACACUGAACAUUGAGCCUUGAUGUGUAGGAUAGGUGGGAGGCUUUGAAGUGUGGACGCCAGUCUGCAUGGAGCCGACCUUGAAAUACCACCCUUUAAUGUUUGAUGUUCUAACGUUGACCCGUGAUCCGGGUUGCGGACAGUGUCUGGUGGGUAGUUUGACUGGGGCGGUCUCCUCCUAAAGAGUAACGGAGGAGCACGAAGGUUGGCUAAUCCUGGUCGGACAUCAGGAGGUUAGUGCAAUGGCAUAAGCCAGCUUGACUGCGAGCGUGACGGCGCGAGCAGGUGCGAAAGCAGGUCAUAGUGAUCCGGUGGUUCUGAAUGGAAGGGCCAUCGCUCAACGGAUAAAAGGUACUCCGGGGAUAACAGGCUGAUACCGCCCAAGAGUUCAUAUCGACGGCGGUGUUUGGCACCUCGAUGUCGGCUCAUCACAUCCUGGGGCUGAAGUAGGUCCCAAGGGUAUGGCUGUUCGCCAUUUAAAGUGGUACGCGAGCUGGGUUUAGAACGUCGUGAGACAGUUCGGUCCCUAUCUGCCGUGGGCGCUGGAGAACUGAGGGGGGCUGCUCCUAGUACGAGAGGACCGGAGUGGACGCAUCACUGGUGUUCGGGUUGUCAUGCCAAUGGCACUGCCCGGUAGCUAAAUGCGGAAGAGAUAAGUGCUGAAAGCAUCUAAGCACGAAACUUGCCCCGAGAUGAGUUCUCCCUGACUCCUUGAGAGUCCUGAAGGAACGUUGAAGACGACGACGUUGAUAGGCCGGGUGUGUAAGCGCAGCGAUGCGUUGAGCUAACCGGUACUAAUGAACCGUGAGGCUUAACCUU